Molecule: transfer RNA, 73 nt
Filed under: Toxocara canis (dog roundworm)
Lineage: Eukaryota; Metazoa; Nematoda; Chromadorea; Rhabditida; Toxocaridae
Rfam family: tRNA
About the family: Transfer RNA (tRNA) molecules are approximately 80 nucleotides in length.
Source: Rfam by way of RNAcentral
GGCCCUGUGGCCUAAUGGCUGGGGUGUCUGACUUCUAAUCAGAAAAUUGCAGGUUCGACCCCUGCCUGGGUCA